AGCAGCGUAUGGCAAACUUUCAUCAAGGAAGAUACGUCCCGUGAAUGGCCACCGAAGCUGCGAUGGCGUGCGAAAAAAUGCCCGCAACAACCUCCGGGGACCGAUCUCUGUGGAUUCUUCGUUUGCGAGUACAUCCGCAGAAUUGUCAACGAGAGAACGAAUAAUGAAAGAAAUAAAGAGUUGGCAAGAAAGCGGAACAAGCUCUCAAUUGAUGACCGCUUCAUAGCAAUAGGCGAGGAAUUGGCGGGAUUUUUCCUUCGGGACGUCAUACCACCACUCGCAGAGCACCACAAUGAAUGAAGAUGUACAUGUUACAUAUAUCGUUGACUCGAAGAGUACCACUAUGCUACAUGUAAUAGACAUAUAUAGAGUACGCCUCGGAGAGCACCACUAUGCAUGAAGAUCGAUCUUCAUGCAUAGUGCUACUUAAUUUGCGAUCUCAUGCAAUAACAUGUGUGUUAUAUUAUAUGCACCAACUUGCUAUGCAUCAUCUUGAUCUUCAUGUACUACCUAAACCCAAACGCGUUUCUGGUGCAUCGACGCGAUAUGAAUCAAACCGAUAUCCCUAAACCUCUCCAAAACCCUAAAA
Long non-coding RNA from Lolium perenne, 589 nucleotides. RefSeq lists it as uncharacterized. NCBI's taxonomy places the organism in Eukaryota, Viridiplantae, Streptophyta, Magnoliopsida, Poales, Poaceae. The record is from RefSeq and is a predicted model, not a curated record.